AGGGAGGUCUCGCCGAGGGGAGGCAGGGACUCAAAUGAAGGACUGGCCACAUGGAGUAUGUGUAUCUCGGAGAAGAACAUUGCUGACCUCUGUAGGAAGAAAGACUGGCCACAUGGAGCAUGUGUAUCUUGGAGAAGAACAUUGCUGACCUCUGUAGGAAGAAAGAUGUGCACAGAAUUGUACAUGGCGAUCAUCAGCAGUAUGAAGAGGAGCUGUGGGGCCAGUGAGAGAAGCUGCAGCCUGUUGAGACUCCACAAGACUGAAGAUAUGAAAAGAGGAAAUAUGCAUGAAUGCCCGCACGGAGAACCACCCCCACCUGCUGCUCCCGCUCUAAUGAUCACGCCCAUUAUCAACUGGGGGAUGGCUCUGUGCCUUGUCCUUGCAUUACAUGGACCAAGAACACUUCACAGGACUCAGAGAGGCAAAAAUAGAUACAAAAGAAGAAGGAAUUACAGAAGAAGUCACAUAACAUUAUUGCCUACAACUGACUGUUUACCUUGAAUACUUGAAGACCAGAAUGAAGAUUCUUGGGGUGAAGAAUUACAGCCUUAGCAUGGAGCAGGCCUCGGUGCAUCGGCUUUCAGCUAGGCAUGCCUGCCAAUGUUCAACGUCCUCCUGGGAUACGGAAGGCACCGUGAUAGACAUCUGGGCAAGUCAACAGGAAGGUGGAUAUCCAAAUCUCUCUCUUCGCAAUGAGUUUCCAGUUAGAUGGAGGAGAGAGUAAUAAAACACAGAGCUGAGAUUCCUGACUUCACAGAUCCCUGAGGAGAUGUUUACUAAAGGGAAUCUUCUGGUCACUGUUACCUUCCUCCGUACUUACCUGCCUCAUGGAGAACCCGAAAGGAAGAAGCUAUACGACUGGGGACACAUGUCUUAGAAGCACACUCAUUAGAUAAAGUGUCGCAUACUCUUUGAUAAGAAACUCCAGGCUGUCACCCAUCUGUUCUCUCAUCAAAGUAGUUUUGGGCCAGCAACUAUUUCAGACAUUUCUACAGUUUCAGAUGUCUCACUCUGCCUAUGACUGUAUGUUGUACUUGAGGACUGGACGCACAGGGUAAAGUGCAAAUAGCAAGCAUUCAGGUCCAACUCUCCUCCUUCUGGUUAACAAUAUGAAAGAAAGAGGUAGUAUCGGAAUUAUUUUAGUUCAAUGUAGCCAU
RNAcentral lists this long non-coding RNA (1157 nucleotides) under Homo sapiens (human). RNAcentral describes it as "HSALNT0082493". The record is from RNAcentral. Lineage: Eukaryota; Metazoa; Chordata; Mammalia; Primates; Hominidae.